AUAACGACUCUCGGCAACGGAUAUCUCGGCUCUCGCAUCGAUGAAGAACGUAGCGAAAUGCGAUACUUGGUGUGAAUUGCAGAAUCCCGCGAAUCAUCGAGUCUUUGAACGCAAGUUGCGCCCGAAGCCAUUCGGCCGAGGCACGUCUGCCUGGGUGUCACGC
Molecule: ribosomal RNA, 163 nt
Filed under: Juglans nigra (black walnut)
Lineage: Eukaryota; Viridiplantae; Streptophyta; Magnoliopsida; Fagales; Juglandaceae
Also listed under: 5 other names
Description: 5.8S ribosomal RNA
Rfam family: 5.8S ribosomal RNA
About the family: 5.8S ribosomal RNA (5.8S rRNA) is a component of the large subunit of the eukaryotic ribosome. It is transcribed by RNA polymerase I as part of the 45S precursor that also contains 18S and 28S rRNA.
Source: RNAcentral